This 577-nucleotide ribosomal RNA is filed under the name uncultured bacterium. RNAcentral's name for it is "partial 16S ribosomal RNA". It matches the Rfam family "Bacterial small subunit ribosomal RNA", at positions 355 to 1376 of the family's 1533-position model. The record is from RNAcentral.
UGAGGAAUAUUGGUCAAUGGUCGCAAGACUGAACCAGCCAUGCCGCGUGCAGGAAGACGGUCCUAUGGAUUGUAAACUGCUUUUAUACAGGAAGAAACCCUCCCACGUGUGGGAGCUUGACGGUACUGUAGGAAUAAGGAUCGGCUAACUCCGUGCCAGCAGCCGCGGUAAUACGGAGGAUCCAAGCGUUAUCCGGAAUCAUUGGGUUUAAAGGGUCCGUAGGCGGUCUUAUAAGUCAGUGGUGAAAGCCCAUCGCUCAACAAUGGAACUGCCAUUGAUACUGUAAGACUUGAAUGCUUAGGAAGUAACUAGAAUAUGUAGUGUAGCGGUGAAAUGCUUAGAUAUUACAUGGAAUACCAAUUGCGAAGGCAGGUUACUACUAAGUGAUUGACGCUGAUGGACGAAAGCGUGGGGAGCGAACAGGAUUAGAUACCCUGGUAGUCCACGCCGUAAACGAUGGAUACUAGCUGUUCGGCGCAAGUUGAGUGGCUAAGCGAAAGUGAUAAGUAUCCCACCUGGGGAGUACGCACGCAAGUGUGAAACUUAAAUGAAUUGACGGGGUCAUAGCUGUUUCCUG